CUAAGGAAAAUAUCAUCUUCAGUUGUGAAAGACUUAAAGAAAAGUUUUUUCAUCUUUUUUGACCGUUUACAACCCAUAAAGGGGGCCUAUAGCUCAGUUGGUUAGAGCACACGCCUGAUAAGCGUGAGGUCGAUGGUUCAAGUCCAUUUAGGCCCACCAUGAUUGUUGAUUGUCAAAACAGAUUAGCUCUUUGAAAAGUAGAUAAAUAAAAGGUUAAAAGA
RNAcentral lists this transfer RNA (221 nucleotides) under Candidatus Phytoplasma periplocae. Its description in RNAcentral is "'Periploca aphylla' witches'-broom phytoplasma 16S-23S ribosomal RNA intergenic spacer". The stretch from base 83 to 156 matches the Rfam family "tRNA". Lineage: Bacteria; Bacillati; Mycoplasmatota; Mollicutes; Acholeplasmatales; Acholeplasmataceae. The record is from RNAcentral.